UUAAUUUUUCAUGAUGUAGAGCCGGGCCCUGCUCUUAGUCUUGAAUUUCUACAAUAAUUACAUAUGCACUACAUUGGUUGACAAAUUUAAAUAAUAUAGAAAUUAAAGAGACUGACAGCAUGCUUGCAUCCAUAGGCAACGAUAUUAACUUUCUUUCCGCCUCAAUAUGAACCUGAUAUAACAUGCAGGUAUAAAAAUUAAAAACCACAAUAUAACACUUGAAAGGAUAUAAAUUCCAUUACUUUUCUUAUUUGUUAAAAGACCAAAAUACCCCUGUUUAAAUGAAAUAUGAAUUGUGCAAAGAAAAAUAAAGAAAUCAUGUUUGCUCUAUUAUUGUUGCUAAUAAACCAACAUUCCACUGAUCUGUAUCUAAACAAACUUUUUAUAAAACAAAGUAGAAUCAUCUUAAACAAAGCAAUAUCAUCUAAACAUAACUAAAUGUGUGGCCAUAAAAGAUAAAAAUGUAAAUAAACAUGCCUUUGAGUUUAUGAAGUACGUGCAACUUCAAAUUGCCUCUGUAGACACUCAUAAUUCAUUUUAUAGCCUAUCUAAUAAACCUUUCUGUUGCCAUAAUUUUGCAGACUCUGAAAGUUUCAAAACAGAUUCAGCCGCCCCAUUGGGAUCUUCUUCAAACAAUAAUAAACUAUGGCUAACCCACACCCAUCAGUAUUAUUGGCUAUUUCACCUUUUAUGAAUUUGAAAUUUAUAAAUUAAAUCAAAGUGAAAAUAUAAAACUAAAGAAAUCUAAAACCGAAAUUAUAAUAUACUUUUUUCAUUACAACGGGUAGAUGUUUCAAAUUACAAUGCUACAACAGGUAGACAUGAAAGAAUGAUGCAAUACUAAAAAAAUAAAUGAAUGUACAUUGCCAUUUUUUGCAUUUGAAAGAAAUAUUUUAACACAAAACAGGCAAAAAAUGAUCCAAAAAUGCAGAAUGUAACUUAGGGGAGGGGGUUUACCAGAUAAUCAGCUUCAAUGCUAUCUCAUCUGAAAAUAAAGCACUUAACAAGUUCAUGCACGGAUGCACCUUUUAAUCAAUCUCAUAUUAAAAGGUUUACAACUACAAAAUAUGAUCUGAUUCUCAGAAACCCAACCAAAAAAAAAAGAAUCAGUAUAAAAACUUAUUAAUUGUUUUACAUUCCAAUACACGGAGGAAAUACAUAAGAUUUAAAGUCAUUGAGAACCAAAAACUCAUCAUGCAUCAAAUAUUUUAAGUAUGUUAGUGAUGAAUUUAACCAAAUUUACCAGAAUAUGCUCUAUUGAUAAAAAUCAGAUGCAAAACCUGCCACUAUUUAAAUGUUAGUCAAACAUGCAAAUAACUCACUUUGUUCUUGAGCUUGAUCUACACCUGGAUUACAGAAGAGCUACCAUUAGCUAAAAAAACGUAGCACUAUAAACACUCCAUAUUAGUUUUCAACCAAGUAUUAUUCACAUUACACCCCCUGUUAUCAAAUGCAAUAUCAAAUUUCAUUUUAUCAAUUAAUUAAAUACCAACCUUUCCCACUAAUGGAUUAAUGAUCAUAAACCCACCAUACAUUAUAAUAAUAUCAAGAUUAGAAAGAGUGGGGAGAGAAAAAGUAGGUCGCAUAUCCAUUUUAAAGUGAAAGUAUCAGCAGUCAUCAUUAAUUCUUGCUUCAAGUUUUCUGCUUUUAUUGGGGGUUAUUUUUCAAAUGUUUCAAAGUACAACUUACAUCUCCACCCGAAUCCCAACACCUUGGAAUCUACAGCUUAGAAGAAAACAAUUUUUCUUGGAACAUUCAUAAUCAUUUCUACCGGGCAUUUUAUCAAACACCUAUUAUGCAUACCAUUAAGCACCAAUUACUACUACAUCAAUUGCUUGUUGCUACAUAAAAAAGCAACUUGAUUUCAUGAGACGCGAUUUGAUUUUACAAAUGAACUCUUUAUCGGAUGCGAACCAACAAAGACACGAAAUCUAUAUGAUGAGUCCGUCGGGUGCGGGAAUAAUCCCUUCCAAUUCUGGUGAGGAUUGGUUCAAGAUCAAAGUAAAAACUUUAGUUUGAUUUUAGUUCAUAGAACCAACAAAAAUAGAGUCGGAAAUCUGAUGAAGUAAAGGAAAUCACAUAAGUAAUGGGGAAGAGGAGCUAUUACCUUGUAUUUAUGGAAAACAUCAGCGACUCAGUUAAACCAAACAUUUGGAGAUCGCUUACUUCAAUCUCAAACUCAAUAAAUUAAGAAGCAAAAAUAGAAGAUUGACAAAAAAAAAAUCGAACACAUGAUACAUCGUCUAAACACCAUAAAAAACACACACGAAAAUCAAACUAUUUACAUGAUGUUUCGAUCCAUAAAUCAAAAUAAAAAAAUAAAAAUAAAGAAAUCGGUGAGGUCAUCCAUCCUUGGUGUUUCAAUUAUAGGAAAGAAAAUGGAGUGACAUGGGAGAAGGGGGGACGAAAGAUGUGAGAAAAAUUGUUAUUUUAAAAGAGGGUGAAGCUGAGAGAUGUUUAUUUUGUAGCUUUGAAGAGUAGAGAUGGAGAUCGGACUUUAGCGCGAGAAAAGGAGAAGAGAUCCACAGGAGUAUAUGAGAUUUUGAAAUUGUAACGGGGAUGCUUAUCUAACUCAAGGAAUAAGAAUUGCUGAUUUAACGGGAUUGAAUUUAAAUAUAUGAUUUAAGUUGUUGGAAGCUGCCGUAAAUAAUGAUACAAAUUUAAAGUCUAAAUAGUAAUUUAAA
Molecule: long non-coding RNA, 2684 nt
Filed under: Lactuca sativa (garden lettuce)
Lineage: Eukaryota; Viridiplantae; Streptophyta; Magnoliopsida; Asterales; Asteraceae
Description: long non-coding RNA (LSAT_LNC007014)
Source: RNAcentral